UACAGAGGUCUCAAGCGUUGUUCGGAUUCAUUGGGCGUAAAGGGCGCGUAGGCGGCUCGUGAAGUCGGGUGUGAAAGCCCGGGGCUCAACCCCGGAACGGCAUCCGAUACUGGCGGGCUUGAGACCGGGAGAGGAGGGUGGAAUACCCAGUGUAGAGGUGAAAUUCGUAGAUAUUGGGUAGAACACCGGUGGCGAAAGCGGCUCUCUGGCCCGGAUCUGACGCUGAGGCGCGAAAGCGUGGGGAGCAAACAGG
This 253-nucleotide ribosomal RNA is filed under the name uncultured bacterium. RNAcentral's name for it is "partial 16S ribosomal RNA". It matches the Rfam family "Bacterial small subunit ribosomal RNA", at positions 524 to 776 of the family's 1533-position model. The record is from RNAcentral.